CUCUGUAUUCUGGAUGGAUUCUCCUGGAUUAAAGAUGGGCCGCUGUCAAAGCACCUGACCAAGACUGACAACUGGUGAAUGGAAAACCGGAAUAAGCACUUGGAAGAAGAAAACCGACAACCGAGACAACUUGCCUUUGAUUUGCCUGGCGUAAUGGAUACUUUGAAAACCACAA
Rana temporaria (common frog) is the source of this 175-nucleotide long non-coding RNA. RefSeq lists it as uncharacterized. The transcript is spliced from 3 exons. Lineage: Eukaryota; Metazoa; Chordata; Amphibia; Anura; Ranidae. The record is from RefSeq and is a predicted model, not a curated record.